AAUUUCACCAUCCUCACCUCCCCACAGCACAUCUGAGGCCCAUCUGGAGAAUGGUUACCAGAGGCUGGGAAGGGUAGUGGGAGAUUGAGGGGAGGUGGGGAUAGUUGAACUCUCGUGAGUUCAAUUGUUUUCAUUUUUAGAGCCCACAAAUAACUAAGAACAUGCAAUGUUUGUCUUUCUGUUCCUGGCUUAUUUCGCUUAACAUAAUGAUCUUCAGCUUCAUCCAUGAAGUCCUGCAACAUUUUCGGUGCCCAAUGUGGGGCUCAAAAAGCGGCCAUCAGACUCCAAACAGUUAUGCAACUGGAGCCUCCUGAGGAUGACCCCUUCUGCCUGGGACCCUUAGAUCAGCCUCUAGAGAAGCUUUGACUGCUGUUUCCCCAAAACAGCACCCCCUGCCAUCAGGAAGCAAAAGCCAUGUUGGUUCACCACAUGUAUCGCAUCCUGAUAAUGUGAAGUGAAAAAGUAGAGCCUGGAAGCCUUUGUAAGAUGACUGUGCCAGAGGAGGAAGAUAAAUAUCUCGAUGCUAUGGAGGCCUGUCAGCUCUUUGAAGUAUCUGGGCAAUAUCAAGAUUUCUACUUCAGAUGAAAAAACAAAUAGUUAUUCAUUGACCCUGUUGCCGCCAAGAAAGAGGUGAAAGGUGAACCCCCAACCCACGGAAAGAUCCAGCCAAGUAAGGAACUGCAAAAUAUUGAAUGACUAAUUCUCCAAACAAGAAACUCAGGAAUUCUGCUCUUGGGAAGAUGGAUUAGAUGUAUUAUUCUUUACUCUUCCCACUAACUACAACUAAAACCUCAGACUUACAUAUAAAACAAGCAUAAGGAGACUCUGAACGGUGAAGAGAAGAAGGUGGACUUACUGGAGAUCUUAAGACCCAAGAAAUAAUGGAGAAGAGAACAAGAAGAUUUAUACUAGCCAUGCAAGGAAUCUUUGGAAGUCUAACAGACCUGACUUGAAGAGAAGGCUUUAAACAAGAAAUUCUUCAUUCUGGAACAGUGAUUCUUAAAGUGCGGUUCAGAGACCCUGGGAGACACUGACAUUCUUUCAGAGUGUGAGUGAGGAUUUCCUCUUUGCAACUACAAUCUGUGUAAGGUUGGAUUUUCUUUACAUACAUAAACUAAAAUAAGAUUGCAAUAAGAUGAAUGCAGAAGCAGAUAAGAGAAUCCAGCUGUCUUAAGUUAGACUUCACAGAGAUUUGCAAAAAUCCAAACAAGACCACUCUCGUCAUUAAAGUUAUUUUCCAUUUGUUAUGGUGAACUUAUUUUGCAGGAAAUUUGUUAUUUAUAGUAACAUACAAUUUUGUUUUUUGAUCAUUUUAAAUAAAUUAAUAAAUAUUAUAAGUUUUCUAUUUUUAAAAUUAUACAUGUCAGAAAAGAACAGUUCUUUCAGGUCCUCAACAAUUUUAAGACUAUUAACUUGUUUUGGAUCAAAAAGUUCUAGAUUUGCUAUUCUAGACAUGAAUCCUUUGAAAUUAAUUGGCUUCAUAAGUAUAUUUUUCAAGUUUGUGGCUUGUCCUGUAACCUUCUACUGUGUAGAAGUUUUAAAUUUUAAUUUAAAGAAAUUUAAAAUUUUUUCAUUUUUGUUUGUGCUUUUGGUGUCAUAUUUAGGAAAUCCUUCUCUACCUUGAGUUCAUGAAAAUAUCCUCUUAUAUUUAGUAUUUACAGUUUGUUCUUCAUCUUUAGGUCUAUAAUUUAUUGAAAAUAUAGUUUUGUAUGUGAUGUAAGCUAAAGAUAUUUUUUAAAACUUGAUAUGGAUAACACAUUUUGGCAAUAUUAUUCAUCCACUCAUUCUCCCACUGACUUUCCCUCUGCCACUUACUUACCUACAUAAGAAUUUGUCGUGGAGAUUCUCUUUUCUAUUCUUUUAGUCUAAUGGCUUAAUUGUUGAUCAAUUACCCUUUUUAACUAUUGAUGCUUUAGAGUAAGUCUUGAUAUAAAGCCAUGUAAGUCCCUUGAAUUAGUCUCCCACUUUUCCUUCUUAAAAACAUUCUGGGAUCUUCUUGGCCUUUAACUCCUCUGACUUAAUUUUAGGAUCAAUUUCUCAGAUUACAUUAACAACCUGUUCAAAUUGCAUAGAUUUUAUAGGUAAAUCUGUAUAAAAUUUACAUGUUAUAAUAUUGGGGCUUUUUAUUCAUAAACAUUUUCACCAACGUUUUAGUUUCAUAUCUUCCAAUAAGAUUUUAUAAUUUUUCAUACCUAUCUUAGAUGAUUUUGGUUGCAUUUAUUUUUUAUAGUUUUAGUUUUAUUGUCAAUGCAGCUUUUUCCAAUUCAAUUUUAUAACAGUUUUGCUGGUUAAAAAAAAAAAAAAGACUAUUUAUUUUGUGUAUUGGUUUUUAAAUUGUACAAUGUUUCUGAAUUUUCUUACUUCCAAACAGUCGUCUAUAAAUUAUCUUGAUUGUCUAAAAUGUGAAAUUCAUAUACUAUGAGAAUGAUAAUUUUAUUUUUUCAUUUUCAAUUCUUAAACUUCUGAUGACACUUGGCUGGAACCUCCUUCACUAGGUUGAAAAUAAGUGGCAACAGUGGUAUCCUUGUUCUGUUAUUGAUUCCAAGAGCCUGCCUCUAAUGUUUCCCCAUGUAUUAUGAUGUUUGUGUAAAUUUUGAUAGACCUUAUUUAUUAAGUAAAAAGAUUCUCUUCUAGUUCAAGUUUGGUCUACAAGUUUUUAUUGUGAAAGUGAACUGAAUUUUAGAAAUACCUUUUAAUGUGUAUAAAAAAUUAUAUCUUUAUUUCUGUUAAUGUGAUAAAUUACAUUAAGAGAUUUUAUUAAUAUUUGGUUAUCUUUGUAUUUCAACAAUUAUUUGGUUAUCUUUGUAUUUCAACAAUUAUAGUCAUAUUAUUAAAUAUUAAUUUGGUUAGCUAAUAUUUUAUUUUUAUGAUUUUGACAUCUACUUUCAUAAGUAACUUUAUUUUUAACUGGUUUUACUGCCAAGGUUAUACUCUCAUAGUAACUGGGGGUUUGUUACAUAGGUAUACACGUGACAUGGUGGUUUGCUGCACCCAUCAACCUGUCAUCUACAUUAGGUAUUUCUCCUAGUGCUAUCCCUCCCCCUUACCUCCACCCCCUCACAGGAACCGGUGUGUGAUGUUCCAUUCCCUGUGUCCAUAUGUUCUCGUUGUUCAACUCCCACUUAUGAGAACAUGUGUGGUGUUUGGUUUUCUGUUCUUGUGACAGUUUGCUAAGAAUGAUGGUUUCUAGCUUCAUCCAUGUCCCUGCAAAGGACAUGAACUCAUCCUUUUUUAUGGAUGUAUAAUAUUCCAUGGUGUAUAUGUGCCACAUUUUCUUUACCUAGUCUAUCAUUGAUGGGCAUUCGGGUUGGUUCCAAGUCUUUGCUAUUGUGAACAGUGCUGCAAUAAACAUAUGUGUGCAUGUGUCUUUAUAAUAGAAUGGUUCAUAAUCCUUUAUGUAUAUACCCAGUAAUGGGAUUGCUGAGGCCAAUGGUGUUCCUGGUUCUAGAUCCUUGAGGAACCACCACACUAUCUUCCACAAUGGUUGAACUAAUUGAUACUUCCACCAACAGUGUAAAAGCGUUCCUGUUUCUCCAUAUCCUCUCUAGCAUCCAUUGUAUCCUGACUUUUAAAUGAUCACCAUUCUAACUGGUGUGAGAUGGUAUCUCAUUGUGGUUUUGAUUUGUGUUUCUCUAAUGACCAGUGAUGAUGAGCUUUUCUUCAUGUUUGUUGGCUGCAUAAUGUCUUCUUUUGAGAAGUGCUCAUUCAUAUUCUUUGCUCACUUUUUGAUGGCAUUGUUUUUUUCUUGCAAAUUUGUUUAAGUUCUUUGUAGAUUCUGGAUAUUAGCCCUUUGUCAGAUGGAUAGAUUGCAAAAUUUUUCUCCCAAUCGGCAGGUUGCCUGUUCACUCUGAUGAUAGUUUCUUUUGCUGUGCAGAAGUUCUUUAGUUUAAUUAGAUCCCAUUUGUCAAUUUUGGCUUUUGUGCCCAUUGCUUUUGGUGUUUUAGUCAUGAAGUCUUUGCCCAUGCCUAUGUCCUGAAUAGUAUUGCCUAGGUUUUCUUCUACGGUUUUUACGGUUUUAGGUCUUGGGUUUACGUCUUUAAUCCAUCUUGAGUGAAUUUCUGUAUAAGGUGUAAGGAAGGGGUCCAGUUUCAGUUUUCUGCAUAUGGCUAGCCAGUUUUCCCGACACCAUUUAUUAAAUAGGGAAUCCUUUCCCCAUUGAUUGUUUUUGUCAGGUUUGUCAAAGGUCAGAUGGUUGUAGAUGUGUGGUGUUAUUUCUGAGGCCUCUAUUGUGUUCCAUUGGUCUAUAUAUCUGUUUUGGUACCAGUACCAUGCUGUUUUGGUUACUGUAGCCUUGUAGUAUGGUUUGAAGUCAGGUAGCAUGAUGCCUCCAGCUUUGUUCUUUUUGCUUAGGAUUGUCUUGGCUAUGCGGGCUCUUUUUUUGUUCCAGAUGAAACUUAAAGUAGUUUUUUUCUAAUUCUGUGAAGAAAGUCAAUGGUAACUUGAUGGGGAUAGCACUGAAUCUGUAAAUUACUUUGGGCAGUAUGGCCAUUUUCACAAUAUUGAUUCUUCCUAUCCAUGAUCAUGGGAUGUUUUUCCAUUUAUUUGUGUCCUCUCUGAUUUCCUUGAGCAGUGGUUUGUAGUUCUCCUUGAAGAGGUCCUUCACAUCCCUCGUAGGUUGUAUUCCUAGGUAUUUUAUUCUCUUUGUAGCAAUUGUGAAUGGAAGUACACUCAUAAUUUGGCUGUUUUUCUGUUAUUGGUUUAUAGGAAUGCUUGUGAUUUUUGCACAUUGAUUUUGUAUCCUGAGACUUUGCUGAAGUUGCUUAUCAGCUUAAGGAGAUUUUGGGCUGAUAUGAUGGGGUUUUCUAAAUAUACAAUCAUGUCAUCUGCAAACAGAGACAACUUGACUUCCUCUUUUACUAUUUGAAUACCCUUUAUUUCUUUCUCUUGCCUGAACGCCCUGGCCAGAACUUCCCAUACUAUGUUGAAUAGGAGUCGUAAGAGAGGGCAUCCUUGUCUUGUGCCAGUUUUCAAAGGGAAUUCUUCCAGUUAUUGCCCAUUCAGUAUGGUAUUGGCUGUGGGUUUGUCAUAAAUAGCUCUUAUUAUUUUGAGAUAUGUUUCAUCAAUACCUAGAUUAUUGAGAAUUUUUAGCAUGAAUGGGUGUUGAAUUUUGACAAAGGCCUUUUCUGCAUCUAAUCAUGUGGUUUUUGUCAUUGAUUCUGUUUAUGUGAUGGAUUAUGUUUAUUGAUGUACGUAUGUUGAACCAGCCUUGCAUCCCAGGGAUGAAGCCGACUUGAUUGUGGUAGAUAAGCUUUUUGAUGUGCUACUGGAUUCAGUUUGCCAGUAUUUUGUUGAGGAUUUUCGCACCAAUGUUCAUCAGGGAUAUUGGCCUGAAAUUUUCUUUUUUUUUUUGUUGUGUCUUGGUAUCAGGAUGAUGAUGGCCUCAUAAAAUGAGGUAGGGAGGAUUCCCUCUUUUUCUAUUGAUUGGAAUCGUUUCAGAAGGAAUGGUACCAGCUUCUCUUCGUACCUCUGGUAGAAUUUGACUGUGAAUCCAUCUGGUCCUGGACUUUUUGUGGUUGGUAGGCUAUUAAUUAGUGCCUCAAUUUUAGAACUUGUCGUCUAUUCAGGGAUUCGACUUCUUCCUGGUUUAGACUUUGGAGGAUGUAUGUGUCCAGGAAUUUAUCCAUUUCUUCUAGAUUUCCUAUUUUAUUUGUAUAGAGGUGUUUAUAGUAUUCUCAGAUGGUAGUUUGAAUUUCCGUGGGAUCACUGGUGACAUCCCCUUUAUCAUUUUUUAUUGCAUCUAUUUGAUUGUUCUCUCUUUUCUUCUUUCUUCGUCUGGCUAGCAGUGUAUCUAUUUUGUUGAUCUUUUCAAAAAACCAGGUAAUGGAUUCAUUGAUUUUUUAGAAGAGUUUUUUGUGUCUCUAUUUCCUUCAGUUCUGCUAGCUUUUGAAUUUGUUUGCUCUUACUUCUCUAGCACUUUUAAUUGUGAUGUUAGAGUGUAAAUUUUAGAUCAUUCCUGCUUUCUAUUGUGUGCAUUUAGUGCUAUAAACUUCCCUCUGGUACUUUGAGUCUGUGUUCUCAUUGCUUUCAGAGAAUAUUUACCCAGUAAGUCAUUCAGGAGCAGGUUGUUCAGUUUCCAUGUAGUUGUGCAGUUUUGAGUGAGUUUCUUAAUCCUGAGUUCUAAUUGGAUUGCACUGUGAUCUCAGAGACUGUUUAUGAUUUCUGUUCUUUUGCAUUUGCUGAGGAGUGUUUUACUUCCAAUUAUGUGGUCACUAUUAGAAUAAGUGUGAUGUGGUGCUGAGAAGAAUGUAUAUUCUGUUGAUUUGGGGUGGAGAGUUCUGUAGAAGUCUAUUAGGUCUGCUUGUUCCAGAGCUGAGUUCAAGUCAAGUCCUGAAUAUCCUUGUUAAUUUUCUGUCAUGUUGAUCAGUCUAUUAUUGGCAGUGGUGUGUUAAAUUGUGUGGGAGUCUAAGUCUCUUUGUAGGUCUCUAAGAACUUGCUUUAUGAAUCCGGGCGCUCCUGCAUUGGGUGCAUCUAUAUUUAAGACAGUUAGCUGUUCUUGUUACAUUGAUCCCUUUACCAUAUUUAAUGCCCUUCUUCGUCUCUUUUGAUCUUUGUUGGUUUAAAGUCUGUUUUAUCAGAGACUAGAAUUGCAACUCCUGCUUUUUUUUUUUUUUUUUUUUUUUUUUUUUUUUUUUUUUUGCUAUUUGCUUGGUAAAUAUCCCUCCAUCCCUUUAUUUUGAGCCUAUGUGUGUCUUUGCACGUGAGAUGGGUCUCCUGAACACAGCACACUGAUAGGUCUUGACUCUUUAUCCAAUUUGCCAGUCUGUGUCUUUUAACUGGGGGCAUUUAGCCCAUUUACAUUUAAGGUUAAUAUUGUUAUGUAUGAAUAUGAUCCUGUCAUUGUGAUGCUAGCUGGUUAUUGUGCCUGUUAGUUGAUGCAGUUUCUUCAUAGUGUUGAUGGCCUUUACAAUUUGUUACGUUUGUGGUACCAGUUGUUCUUUUCCAUGUUCAGUGCUUCCUUCAGGAGCUCUGGUAAGGCAGGCCUGGUGGUGACAAAAUCUCUCAGCAUUUGCUUGUCUGUAAAGAAUUUUAUUUCUCUUUCACUUAUGAAGCUUAGUUUGGCUGGAUAUGAAAUUCUGGCUUGAAAAUUCUUUUCUUUAAGAAUGUCGAAUAUGGGCCCCCACUCUCUUCUGGCUUGCAGGGUUUCUGCAGAGGGAUCCACUGUUAGUCUGAUGGGCUUCCCUUUGUGGGUAACCUGACCUUUCUAUCUGGCUGCCCUUAACAUUUUUUCGUUCAUUUCAACCUUUGUGAAUCUGAUGAUUAUGUGUCUUGGGGUUGCUCUUCUCAAGGAGUAUCUUUGUGGUGUUCUCUGUAUUUCCUGAAUUUGAAUGUUGGCCUGUCUUGCUAGGUUGGGGAAGUUCUCCUGGAUAAUAUCCUGAAGAGUGUUUUCCAUUCUCCCCAUCACUUUCAGGUACAACAAUCAAAGGCAGAUUUAGUCUUUUCACAUAGUCCCAUAUUUCUUGGAGGCUUUGUUUGUUCCUUUUUAUUCUUUUCUCUCUAAUCUUGUCUUCUCACUUUAUUUCAUUAAGUUGAUCUUCAAUCUCUGAUAUUGUUUCUUCUGCUUUAUUGAUUUGGCUAUUGAUACUUGUGUAUGCUUCACGAAAUUUUUGAGCUGUGUUUUUCAGCUCCAUCAGGUCAUUUAUGUUGUUAUCUAAACUGGUUAUUCAUGUUAGCAAUUCUUCUGACCUUUUUUCAAGGUUCUUAGCUUCCUUGCAUUUGGUUAGAACAUGCUCUUUUAGCUCAGAGGAGUUCGUUAUUACCCACCUUCUGUCAAUUCGUCAAACUUAUUCUCUGUCCAGUUUUGUUCCCUUGCUGGUGAGGAGGUGUGAUCCUUUGGAGGGGAAGAGGCAUUCUGGUUUUUGAAAUUUUCAGCCCUUUCGAGCUAGUUUCUCCCCAUCUUCGUGGAUUUAUCUACCAUUGGUGUUUGAUUUUGGUGACCUUCGGAUGGGGUCUCUGAGUGGACGUCCUUUCUUAUUGAUGUUAAUGCUAUUCCUUUCUGUUUGUUAAUUUUUCUUCUAACAAUCAGAACCCUCUGCUGCAGGUCUGCUGGAGUUUUCUGGAGGUCCACUCCAGACCCUAUUUGCCUGGAUAUCACCAGCAGAGGCUACAGAACAGCAAAGAUUGCUGCCUGUUCCUUCCUCUGAAAACUUCAUCCCAGAGGGGCACCUGCCAGAUGCCAGCCAGAGCUCUCCUUUAUGAAGUGUCUUUUGUCCCCUACUGGGAGGUGUCUCCCAGUCAGGAGACGUGGGGUCGGGACCCACUUGAGGAGUCAGUCUGUUCCUUAGCAGAGAUCAAAUGCUGUGCUGGGAGAUCUGCUGCUCUCUUCAGAGCCAUCAGGCAGGGAUGUUUAAGUCUGCCUAAGCUGCACUCACAGUGCCCCUUGCCCCAGGUGCUCUGUCCCAGGGAGAUAGAUAGGAGUUUUAUCUAUUAGCCCCUGACUGGGGCUCCUGCCUUUUUUUUCACAAAUGCCCUGCCCAGAGAGGAGGAAUCUAGAAAGGCGGUCUGGCCACAGCAGACUUGCUGAGCUGUUGUGGGCUCUGCCCAGUUUGAACUUCCUGGUGACUUUAUUUACACUGUGAAGGUAAAACAGCCUACUCAAGCCUCAGUAAUGGCAGACGCCCCUCCCCAGCUCGAGCAUCUCAGGUCAACCUCAGACUGCUGUGCUGGCAGCGAGAAUUUCAAGCCAGUGGAUCUUAGCUUGCUGGGUUCUGUGAGUGUGGCACCUGCCCAGCCAGACCACUUGGCCCCCUGGCCUCAGCCCCCUUUCCAGGGCAGUGAAUGGUUCUGUCCUGGCAGUGAAUGGUUCUGUCCUGCUGGCAUUCCAGGUGCCAUUGGGGUAUGAAAAAAAGCUCCUGCAGCUAGCUAGGUGUCUUCCCAAAUUGCCACCCAGUUUUGUGGUUGAAACCCAGGGCCCUGGUGGCGGAGGCACCAGAGGGAAUCUCUUGGUCUGCGGGUUGCAAAGACUGCGAUGUAUCUGGGCUGGAGUACACCGUUCACAGUCUUUCACAGCUUCCCUUGGCUAGGGCAGGGAAUCCCUGACCCCUUGCGCUCCCCAGGUGAGGCAAUGCCCCACUUUGCUUCAGCUUGCCCUCCGUGGGCUGCACCCACUGUCCAACGAGUCCCAAUGAAAUGAAUUGGGUACCUCAAUUGGAAAUGUAGAAAUCACCCAUCUUCUGCAUUGAUCUCGCUGGGAUCUGCAGACCGGAGCUGUUCCUAUUUGGCCAUCUUGCCCAGAAUCUCAA
RNAcentral lists this long non-coding RNA (9239 nucleotides) under Homo sapiens (human). Its description in RNAcentral is "non-protein coding lnc-PHF14-14:16". The record is from RNAcentral. Lineage: Eukaryota; Metazoa; Chordata; Mammalia; Primates; Hominidae.